Molecule: long non-coding RNA, 1405 nt
Organism: Canis lupus familiaris (dog)
Lineage: Eukaryota; Metazoa; Chordata; Mammalia; Carnivora; Canidae
Exons: 4
Source: RefSeq, a predicted model, not a curated record
CCCAGGGAUCCCUACUCCAAUUUUUUUAUCCAACAGAAAGCCUUCAUCUAAAUAGGAAUCUGUCAGACUUCCUCCUUGCUUCUUGAUGACAUGAAUUGCCUCCAGAUUACCAGAGCUUUUCAGUCUGAGAACAGCUUCUACGGCUAACUGAGUAAAGUGGUCUUUGUGAUGAGUAAGAAGUUUUGAGGACAAUGUUGUUCCUGCAAUGUUCAUUAAUUAAAUCUUGACGGAACUUAACUUCAUCAGAAGAUCAACUUAAGAAUUCAACAGAGCCUGUCUUGCUGCCUUUGUAGCUUCUCUCCAACCCACAAUGAUGGUCUAUGGGUGAAUCUUUUUUGCAAAGUUUCCGCUUCCCUUAGAAAUUCUGCUGCUAGCACAGUAACAGAGGUAGUACCAUCACCAACUUCAUCAUCUUGAACCCUUGACAUAUCAACUAAAACUUUAGCUGCUGGAUUGUCCACACCGAUGUUUUUUAGAAUAGUUGCACCAUCAUUGGUUACCAUAAGAGAAGCAUCUCGUCCACUGCUUCAUAGAAUUUUAUCCAUGCCCUUAGGUCCUAGGGUGCUCUUCACCAAGUCUCCAAUAGCAAUGGCACGAAUAAAAGACGACAGCCGAGCCAUCUCCACUCUGUCUUCAUCAGCUCCAGCCUUGAAGAUGUUCACAGACACUUAAGGCUAUGGAUUCUUCCUCGGACAUGGCAUGAGACAUGGGCAGGUCACUCACCUUUUGCCAAACAUGCUCAUCAUGUUCGCUGUGUUGUCUGGGAGUGUGCUGCAUUGGGCCCAAACAUUUCAACAUUUACUGAGUUGUGAACCAGGACCCAGCUGAGGGCUUGGUCAUGGAGGCCCCCGCUCCUGGCGUCUGGCACUCCCUGCCUCCUGGCUUGGACUUCUGUGCACACUUUGUCCUUGGUCGUCCCCACCAGUCCUGUUAAGAUCAAUGCCAGCCACAUGCAGACGGUUCCAAAUUCAAGUCCCCAUCUCUGGCCUCUUUGUGAACACUGCAGUUGUGGGUCUCGCUGUGGGACCCCACCCCAGCAUCCCUUCACAGCCAUCUAAUUGGAAACUCCAACGCCAUCCUAGAAAGGAGGCUCUUGAUCUCUCGAUCUCGCCCCCUGGGAGCGAUCUUCCCUUCUCCACCUUCCACUGAGAACUUGUCUGAAGCUCACAUCUCUCCCACUGUCUGCGUGGUUCCAUCACUCCUUAUGGAGAUGCUGUGAUGCUUAGUUUCUUCUGUUAAUGUGACCAGGCUACGGUACUCCAGUAUUUGGUCAAACACUCAUCCAGAGACUUAAAGUAUUUUAAAAGCAUGAUUAACAUUUAAAUAAGUAGACAGGGAUCCCUGGGUGGCACAGUGGUUUGGCGCCUGCCUUUGCCCAGGGUGCGAUCCUGGAGACCUGGGAUCA